Molecule: non-coding RNA, 4222 nt
Organism: Paramuricea clavata
Lineage: Eukaryota; Metazoa; Cnidaria; Anthozoa; Malacalcyonacea; Plexauridae
Source: the annotation of a GenBank genome assembly
UUCAGUUGUCAUACAUGUCCUUUAUCACUUCAGUGACAUGAGUUUGAUAACGGCUUGUGAAAUUUUCUGCAGUCUAAAGUUUCAUGUUGUCUGCACAUGUACUUUCUUUGGAAACACAAUUUGUUUUGUCGAACUAUGGUGAAGAUAGUGACUCUGAUUGAUUCACAUAUUGUAUUGACAAAUGACUGUUGACAUUGCUUUUCAGUCUCCAAUAUUUCAGUGGGUCAUGCUUUGGAAAUGACAGUAAAUUUUUAUUACCCAACCCUUGAGUUGUUUUGUUUUUCAUUUACCCAACCUUUUACUUACUCAAAAUUUUGUUUACCCAACCCUUUUCUCUUCGGUGCCACCCCCCACCAUAAAUAAUGACCGGUCCCUAAUUUAUUUUUUCGUACUUUUCCGUCACCUUUAUCCUGUUGACUUUUGCGUGGUGAGUGCUGAAGACGACAGAUAGGAAAUCGCGCUUAUCUAAGGCUGCACAUGCGCAGGAAAGCUCUGAGGUUGAGGCCAGUUCUUGCCAGUGAGCUUCGCACGCAGUAAGCCAAGAAACCUUGCAGACGAGGACGGUACGAAGUCGACGUUAAUAGACAGAUUUAGAUCGAGGACGUCAAAGACGACGUGAAAAUGGCUUGUUGUGCCCAUGUAUGGAUAUAUGCCACGCCAUUUGACGUCAUUUCACGUCGUCUUUGACGUCCGCGUCCUCGAUCUAAAUCUGUCUAAUAAGCAUAUACGAUUGGAACGCGGCGACAAAAGCAAACUCGUUCAAAUAAAUUAUUGUGAAGAAAAGUCGUCGUCUAUUGUUCACUGUAUGAAUUUAAUAGAGUUUGAAGAGAUUUAAACAAAGGCUACUUGAAAUUAUUCUUUCGGAAAAACGAAUCAUAAACAUUGGUCAUUUUUGGUUCAAAAGCCAAUCAUAGACUGGUGAUGUAGGUCGUGAACGUUUGUUGUAGGUCAUUGAACGUUUUCGAAGUUAGGGAAGACGAGAACAAGGCAUAUGUUACAGAGCCAGACAAUUGUAGAGAACAAGGGGACAUGGUGAGAUCUUUGUGGCGAACAAGGGAACAAAGCCGGACAAUUGUAGGGAACAAGGGGACAUGGUGAGAUCUUUGUGGCGAACAAGGGAACAAAGCCGGACAAUUGUAGAGAACAAGGGGACACGUAAGGUCGGGGAACAAGGGACAUGAUGAGAUCUUUGUGGGGAACAAAGCCGGACAAUUGUAGAGAACAAGAAAACAUGUAAGGUUGGGGAACAAGAGAACAUAGUGAGAUCUUUGUCGGGAACAAGGCAACAAAAGAAAACGUUACAACUGAACAUGAGAUCCUCAACUAUGUCUGAACAAAGAGAUAUAAGUCAGAACACUUCCUAAUAUGACGAUGCUUUGGAUUGGCUUUAGUGAAACAAAAGUAACGAGUGUUUAUGUUCGAUCGUUCAUUAGAAAGAUGAUUUAUAUAGUGUGAUUCCUGGUCUUUAGAUAUUCUAAAUAAUUGUAUAAAGUCAGGGUGUCAAUCCUGGCGGGGAUAGGGGGACUCGCACUUUUUGACAAGGGUAAAUAAAUUCAUAUAAUAAUUUUCUAUAAUUGAUGUCUAUAGACCGGCACUGGAAAGGACUACAGUCCUUGGUUUGAAAACAUAGCUUCAAAAUACAGGUUACAAAGACAACUGACAGUCACAAAACUAUGCGGAAGCUGGAUUUCUCGAUGGCUGCUCGAUCAAAAAGGAUGCGUUUUUUUCUGAUGAAGGGCCUUUCAAACAUGGAGAAGCCAGUACAACUUUUUAAAGCUUUUUUUCUGUUUAAACUGAGUGGCUGGAAGUGGCAAGGAAUCUUCCGCAUGUAGAUGUAAAAUCACAUUCAAAUCGUCUGCACAGCUGGCCCCCCACAGUUUCAAAGAGACAUUAUUUUCAAGAAGCUAUAAAUAAAAUGUUAUUGUCUAGUAGUUUUCAAGUGUGUUUACCAAGGUAAUGUAAGCCGCUUUCCUUUCUAAGCGUGUCUCAACGUGUUACAGCAAGUUACAUCAAUCACUACAUAAUACUAGCUAGUGCAAUAUUAAUUAACUCAGAUCAUUUUCGUAAGUGUUAACAUCUCUCGACUUUUUUUUGUAAUCCAUGCUCUAAGUGGCUACGAGCAAGAUAAAGAAUGACAUGACUGGUGUUUCAGGAGGUACAUCAUCUGAGCUGCAACCACACAAUCAUAAGAUUUAUGAAACUGACUACCAUCUAUAGUCCCGUCUGAAACUCACCAAUAACUAUUAACUGUAUUCAAGCAAAUCGUGACAAGAUUCUUAUAACAACACGAGUUAUUCUUACAUGGUGGUAUUGUGCAACAAGUCUUGUAAUUUUUAAUUCCGCUUCCUGUGCAAGACAACAACAUUCAAAAUAGAAAGAAAUUGCGAAAAUAUGCAUCUUGAAAAUCCACUAUAGACAAGCAUGGGUGAAAAAUAAAGACAAAAUGAUACAUAUGGUUAUGGCUUUGAAAUAAAGUCGAAAGAAACCGUGAGAAACUGCGAAAUGGUAGGGAUACAACGACCUGUCAACUACAUUCAUGUGAAACAUGUUAAAGAGUAACCAGAACUGAUCCGGAAAGACUUUAUAACCAUGCCGGCUUGUAAAACUGAAAGAUUCAAACGUAGUCCGCUGGUGUGUGCAAUUAAAUGAUACAAUUAUAGUCUAAAUUCGUCGAUUGUAAGAUUUGUUUGUAACUAUACAUUGCCAGUCAUUGGUUAUAUAGAUUAUAAGUUGCAAAUAGUAGUCAUAGUAUAUAUUAACGUAUUUAGUAUGUAAUAUUUUUAGAAAAUAACGUUUAACUUUCUCAAACUGUAAACACGUUAUAAUCAAGUUAGCGUGGUUGCUAUUGAUAUGUGGAUAUAAACACCAUUAUUAUUAUUAUUAUUAUUAUUAUAAAUACAAGGAGAACUUCGACGAAGGUGCGUCGUCUGGAUUGGAAGUUAGUAUUUUGUCUUGAAUAUCUUAGAUUUUCAAGAUGCAUUAUUUUCUGAAUUCGCUUUAUUUUCUAUCUUUUUCGAAUUGUCGGCUGAAAAAAUUAACUAAACAAACAUUUGCAUUUCGAUUCAAUUAAGUUAGGAUUAUGUGGACUUAAAAAGUUGUUGAGUUAUUGCACCGUAGGGUACCAUGCGGUAUAUGGUACAUCAACAUUCUAUUAAUACCAUGCAAAAAUAAUACAGUACAAGCCUGCUAUCUACUACGCGUUGACGAUUGACUUUGACUGUUUCAACUGCGAACUUCAGGCCGUUCAUAUGAUGUUAUAUGCCAACCCUAUUGUGUUUAAGAUGUUUGAGGCGAAAUCAUUAUUAUUCGUAUAAUCGUAUUAAAUUUUUGGACGCUGUCUGGUUCAAAAGAUUUAUUUGUUGACAUAGACAGACAAAAAUAAUUGUAAACCAUUGCAAUAUCUCGUUGUAACUUUAAUAACAGACAGAUUUAGAGAAGACGACGAGGCAAACACGACGACACUCUAUUUCAUCUCAAGAUUGAGAGCUAGGAAUUUAUUACUGUAAUAAAUUGAAGCUUUUUAAUUCAAAAUAAAAUGACCUUACAAAACGGCGACGUUCGAGAAAAACGAUCCGCGGUGUCUGCUAAUUAAGAGACAGAUUUUAUGUAACUCCUCCAACGUCGUAAUAAGCGUUCACCUUGCUCCAAUGACGUGAAAAUCUUCGUUGUAUUCAGAUUGCCAACGUUGUUGAGUACACCACUGGGGAAAAUUUUCAGACAUUUUGUUUUGAAUUGAAGAAUUUCUUUGUCUUGAAGGUGCGUCUAAGCGUCUUCACGUUGUGUUCUCUAAAUCAGUCUCAUAUACCUUCUAAGGCCCACACAGACCGGACGCGAUUCGGCAACGCGACUUUUCAGUUUUCAAAAACAAAUAAAACCGUCAACGGAUAAAACUUUUGCAAGAUAUGCAGACCAAAUACCUAAAAUUGCUUAAGUCGGGUUCCGAAUAUUUGAAAAACAUUGAAAAAUAUUAAAGUUAAAUGUCAUUGAAAACUGAAAAUUCGCGUCGCGUUGCCAAAUCGCGUCUGAUCUGUAUGGGCCUUAAAGGUUGCAGACUGUCAGCCGAAAGCUCGUAAAAUUAAUAAAUAUUUUGAAGCAGAAGAAGGCGUUCAACCCUACGAGGAUGUAACUCUACACUGUCACUGGAUCCCCAGGUUUGUAGGAUUAGUAAUUUACAUUUCAUUACAAAAUUGCAGUUCCACUCAAUGACAUGUCAGAAAGCACC